UUAGCUACGGCGAUACAUAUUCAAAAAUUGGAACGAUACAGAGAAGAUUAGCAUGGCACCUGCGCAAGAAUGACACGCAAAUUUGUGAAGCAUUCCAUAUUUUU
This 104-nucleotide small nuclear RNA is filed under the name Octopus sinensis (East Asian common octopus). The record is from RNAcentral. Lineage: Eukaryota; Metazoa; Mollusca; Cephalopoda; Octopoda; Octopodidae.